UUUGCUUAGCAUAAUACCCUCUAGACCCAUCCAUGUUGUCACAAAUGGCUUCAUCAGUAACUCCUAACCUCAGUAUAUGAGGAGGAAAAGCAUAUGAAUGACUGGUAAAUGACUGAACAGAAUGGAGGAAGGUCUCAUCCCAAGUGCUCACAAAAGAAGACCAAUGAAAAAAAGCCAGCUCCCAGACCCAAGUUGACCCCACGGAGGAACAGGUCCUGUCUUCAAUGGUCAUUUGAACACGAUUUCAUCCAGAUUCUUUCUUUCGAGGUAAGAGGGUUGCAAGUGGUUGCCUCUGCUGUGGUGUUGUCCCAGACAUUGCUGUUACUCAUAAGACAUGAAGAGUUAUUUGACUUUUGGAAGCGGGGGUAAUGGUGG
Aethalodelphis obliquidens (Pacific white-sided dolphin) is the source of this 375-nucleotide long non-coding RNA. RefSeq lists it as uncharacterized. The record is from RefSeq and is a predicted model, not a curated record. The transcript has 3 exons. NCBI's taxonomy places the organism in Eukaryota, Metazoa, Chordata, Mammalia, Artiodactyla, Delphinidae.